RNAcentral lists this ribosomal RNA (507 nucleotides) under uncultured bacterium. RNAcentral describes it as "bacterial LSU rRNA". It matches the Rfam family "Bacterial large subunit ribosomal RNA", at positions 1768 to 2281 of the family's 2925-position model. The record is from RNAcentral.
CAAUGUUGGCCACAGUAAAAUGGCUCUGGCGACUGUUUAUCAAAAACACAUGGCUAUGCGAAACUGAAAGGUGAUGUAUAUGGCCUGACACCUGCCCGGUGCUGGAAGGUUAAGAGGAGAGGUCAUCGUAAGAGAAGCCUUGAAUUGAAGCCCCAGUAAACGGCGGCCGUAACAAUAACGGUCCUAAGGUAGCGAAAUUCCUUGUCGGGUAAGUUCCGACCUGCACGAAUGGUGUAACGAUCUGAGCACUGUCUCAGCCGCGAGCUCGGUGAAAAUUGUAGUAUCGGUGAAGAUGCCGAUUACCCGCAACGGGACGGAAAGACCCCGUGCACCUUCACUAUAGUUUAACAUUGACUUUGGAUAAUUCAUGUGUAGGAUAGGUGGGAGACUUUGAAGCGGUGUCGCUAGGCAUCGUGGAGUCAACGUUGAAAUACCACCCUUGAAUUAUUUGGAGUCUAAUCUGCCUACAGGCAGAGACAUUGUUUGAUGGGUAGUUUGACUGGGGUG